CGUUUUGCGAGGAGGCGGAUUUCUCCAGCUGCAGAUCGUUGGUCCUCAGGGUUUCCGUAAGCCAGCCUCCACAUAAGAUCUUCGAUCUUGUUUGCUUCUGCUGGGGAGGAAAAGGAUGAUACUUUCCUGGGCCUUAAACUGCUCGGAGGUUUUGGAGGCUCGAUAUCAUUGGCCUCGCACCACUGAGCUAUCAGACUUCGGAGAACAUAGUUGGGUGUGAGGGUUGUGCUUGUUAGCGCCUGCUGUGUUUUUGGACAUGUCGAAUGCCCAGCUUCUAUCCACUUGUCAAUGCAGGUGCGUUCGUAGGUCUAUUACACACAGAGGAGAACAUGCUUCAAUAAUUAAAUCUGAAAAGAUUAUAGAACCUAAAGAAAUUUGAAGAAACUGCAACUUUACCUGCCCUGUUGAAACGAUAACUGGAUCUCUCAUCAUUUCCAGAGAUAUUGGACAGCGGAAAUCAUCAGGAAUCACCGGUAUCUUGUGACUCGCAGCCGUAGAAGUUUGCCCAUUGCUACUCGAGUUUACCCCAGCACUCUGGUCCUCGCUAUUGUCAGUGUCAAUCUGCACAAAAUCCUUAAUCAGCUUAAGUACCAUUGCCAUCUCCUCAAUGCUUUCACCACCGCUCGAAGCAACCAUUUCGUGCAGAGCCACUGAUUCUUGAGCUAGGUCAGGAAUCUCCAUCAGAUGUAACUUCCUAGCAACCCGCUGCAGGGUAGGUUGAUAAUCAUCUACGUCACUGCUUUUGAUGCACAGUGACUGAAGAUCUUCAUACAGUUCAUCGUCUGAUGCAUCUACUCUUCCUUUGGCUCGCCGAAACUGGCUGAGAACUAACUCAACCUGCAAAAAAGAAAGAAAAAAAAAACGCCAUCAAAAUGUGCACAUAUCCGCUGAAGAUCCUAUUCUCAGUGAUUGAAGUGGACAGAUGUAGAGCUUUGAUCGCGUAGUUCGUACAGUUAUGGGGUUCUAUCGUUUUUUAUUGGAAUGUUAUGGACAGAAGUCACAAGUAAGCUAUGUGUUUGCUUGGGUUCUGUUUUUGUCUUUGUUUCCUUGGCUUUGUAAGACUAAAGACCGUUUCUUUUAAUACCAGCAAUGAACUUUCAGUGAGAAAAAAAACACAAAUGUUGUGCAUAUGUUCAAGAUAAAAUAGAAUUACGUGUGUAUGCUUAUGUACAGGAAGGUUAUGACCAGGCACGUCCCUUCUAUAAUGCAAAGAAACAUUUGCUUCGGGCCGUAUAAUAUAAGCUUGAGGUUACUGAUCCGAACCCUAUUCUAAUUAAAUUCCCAUUUCUUGUAUUAAAACCAAUAAAGCUGGUGGAAACGAUUACAAACAUUGAAGUGUUACAAUGAUACAAGUUGACGUGUAUGUAUGCAUAUUUGCUGUUCUCUCCUCAGGACCGGAUAGCUCCGUCCUUGCAGAGGUAACACCAUAAAGUUAAAACAUUUCGGACAGACAAGGAGGCCAUUUGCUGCUUUUGCCAUCUACAUUAGAGCCUACCUCGAAGGAAGACCGAGUAGGAGACAAGAAAAGAAAAGUGGGAAUAAUAAAAGACCAUAGGGACCAAAGCAAAAACAACUCUUUUAAGUAUCAGCAGCUUCUGUGGUGGAUGCUGAAUGUGUUGGUUCAGCUUCUUCUGUGUUUUGUGCCUGUGCUGCCGUCUCCUUCUGCUGUUCAGCUAGACGGCUUAUACGUUCAAGCAAUUGAGCUGCUUUUCUUUUCCCUCUAUCUGUCCCGUUUCCGGCUAAAUCAAUCAAUGGACCCAUGAGACCGAGUUUCUGUGCUUCGACCAGAUGUUGUGGGUCAACAGAACAGAGGUGGACUAGAACCGCAGCAGCGUUCUCUCUGUUUCUAGGAGAUCCAGUUCUGAUAAACUCCACUAGACUCGGGACUGCGUCGGAUGAUCCUAUGAUUGCUUUCCCUUCGGGAUGGCUCGAGAGAAUCGCCAGAAUGGCAAGCGCCUCAUCGACCAUUCCGCUUCCGGGCUGUGUUAAGAGUCUCGUCAAUGUGGGAAUCACUCCUGCGCGUAUGGCCUUUCCUUUGUUUCCUUGAUAUAUGCAGAGGUUGAAAAGUGCAGUAGCCGCGUCUUUCUUGCCUCUUUGUGUACCUUCAUUGAGCAGUACAACGAGCGGUGGGAUUGCUCCCAAGGCACCAAUAGUCACUUUGUUCUCGUCAAUCACGGAGAGACUGAAGAGUGUGGCCGCUGCAUUCUCUCUAGCCUCCAUGCUUCCUUUCUUGAGCACUUGAACUAUACCAGGGAUAGCUCCAGCAGAGACAAUGGCCCCUUUGUUGUUCUCACAUAUGGAGAGGUUUAGAAGAGCUGUUACCGAAUGUUCUUGGAUACGAGAAUCAGGAGUUGCGAGGAGGCCAACGAGAAGAGGUAUGGCUCCAGCUUCAGCUAUGGCCACACGGUUGUCUGCAUUUCGUUUUGCAAGGAGGCGGAUUUCUCCAGCUGCAGAUCGUUGGUCCUCAGGGUUUCCGUAAGCCAGCCUCCACAUAAGAUCUUCGAUCUUGUUUGCUUCUGCUGGGGAGGAAAAGGAUGAUACUUUCCUGGGCCUUAAACUGCUCGGAGGUUUUGGAGGCUCGAUAUCAUUGGCCUCGCACCACUGAGCUAUCAGACUUCGGAGAACAUAGUUGGGUGUGAGGGUUGUGCUUGUUAGCGCCUGCUGUGUUUUUGGACAUGUCGAAUGCCCAGCUUCUAUCCACUUCUCGAUGCAGGUGCGUUCGUAGGUCUAUUAUACACAGAGGAGAACAUGCUUCAAUAAUUACAGAACCUAAAGAA
Molecule: long non-coding RNA, 2777 nt
Filed under: Brassica napus (rape)
Lineage: Eukaryota; Viridiplantae; Streptophyta; Magnoliopsida; Brassicales; Brassicaceae
Description: long non-coding RNA (BNAP_LNC000475)
Source: RNAcentral